This 200-nucleotide ribosomal RNA is filed under the name uncultured Glomus. RNAcentral describes it as "partial small subunit ribosomal RNA". It matches the Rfam family "Eukaryotic small subunit ribosomal RNA", at positions 591 to 796 of the family's 1831-position model. The record is from RNAcentral. Lineage: Eukaryota; Fungi; Glomeromycota; Glomeromycetes; Glomerales; Glomeraceae.
CCAAUAGCGUAUAUUAAAGUUGUUGCAGUUAAAAAGCUCGUAGUUGAAUUUCGGGAUCAGUACGCUGGUCGUACCUUCGGUACGUACUGGUGUCACUGAUUCCUCCCUUCUGAAGAACCGUCAUGCCAUUCAGUUGGUGUGGCAGGGAAUCAGGACUGUUACUUUGAAAAAAUUAGAGUGUUUAAAGCAGGCACGCGCUU